Molecule: ribosomal RNA, 300 nt
Filed under: uncultured Ignicoccus sp.
Lineage: Archaea; Thermoproteati; Thermoproteota; Thermoprotei; Desulfurococcales; Desulfurococcaceae
Description: bacterial SSU rRNA
Rfam family: Bacterial small subunit ribosomal RNA
Source: RNAcentral
GAGAACCCCGGGGGCGCGGCGGGGGUAAGCCGGAGGGUGCAAGCGUGGUCCGGAAUCACGGGGCGUGAAGGGCGCGUAGGCGGCUUGAGAAGUCACUUGUGAAAUCCCGUUGCUCAACGACGGGGCGGCAGGUGAGACUGGCGGGCUGGAGCUUGGUAGGGGCGAGUGGAAUUCCCGGUGUAGCGGUGGAAUGCGUAGAGAUCGGGAAGAACACCGGUGGCGAAGGCGGCUCGCUGGGCCAAUGCUGACGCUGAUGCGCGAAAGCGUGGGGAGCAAACAGGAUUAGAUACCCCAGUAGUC